RNAcentral lists this ribosomal RNA (380 nucleotides) under uncultured archaeon. RNAcentral's name for it is "bacterial SSU rRNA". It matches the Rfam family "Archaeal small subunit ribosomal RNA", at positions 474 to 853 of the family's 1478-position model. The record is from RNAcentral.
CACCGGCGGCUCGAGUGGUAACCGUUAUUAUUGGGUCUAAAGGGUCUGUAGCCGGCCGGAUAAGUCUCUUGGGAAAUCCAGCAGCUCAACUGUUGGGCUUUCAGGAGAUACUGUCUGGCUCGAGGCCGGGAGAGGUGAGAGGUACUUCAGGGGUAGGGGUGAAAUCUUGUAAUCCUUGAAGGACCACCAGUGGCGAAGGCGUCUCACCAGAACGGACCUGACGGCAAGGGACGAAAGCUAGGGGCACGAACCGGAUUAGAUACCCGGGUAGUCCUAGCCGUAAACGAUACUCGCUAGGUGUCGGCCACGGUGCGACCGUUGUCGGUGCCGUAGGGAAGCCGUGAAGCGAGCCACCUGGGAAGUACGGCCGCAAGGCUGAA